RNAcentral lists this transfer RNA (72 nucleotides) under Dermacentor silvarum. RNAcentral's name for it is "transfer RNA proline (anticodon AGG)". It matches the Rfam family "tRNA". Rfam says of the family: Transfer RNA (tRNA) molecules are approximately 80 nucleotides in length. Their secondary structure includes four short double-helical elements and three loops (D, anti-codon, and T loops). Further hydrogen bonds mediate the characteristic L-shaped molecular structure. tRNAs have two regions of fundamental functional importance: the anti-codon, which is responsible for specific mRNA codon recognition, and the 3' end, to which the tRNAs corresponding amino acid is attached (by aminoacyl-tRNA synthetases). tRNAs cope with the degeneracy of the genetic code in two manners: having more than one tRNA (with a specific anti-codon) for a particular amino acid; and 'wobble' base-pairing, i.e. permitting non-standard base-pairing at the 3rd anti-codon position. The record is from RNAcentral. Lineage: Eukaryota; Metazoa; Arthropoda; Arachnida; Ixodida; Ixodidae.
GGCUCGUUGGUCUAGGGGUAUGAUUCUCGCUUAGGGUGCAAGAGGUCCCGGGUUCAAACCCCGGACGAGCCC